GACGAACGCUGGCGGCGGGCUUAACACAUGCAAGUCGAACGGAAAGGCCCUUCUUUUGUUGGGUGCUCGAGUGGCGAAAGGGUGCGUAACACGUGUGUAACCUGCCCUUGACAUUGGGAUAGCUUCACGAAACGGGGGCUAAUACCGCAUAAGAGCUCCUGCUGCAAGGUGGUGGUUGUAAAAUUUCGGCGGGUGGGGAUGGACUCGGCGGUUAGCAGCUUGUUGGGGGGGUAGUGGCUUACCAAGGCUUUGAGGGAUUGCCGGCCUGGGAGGGUGACCGGACACACUGGGACUGAGACACGGCCCAGAAGCCUAAGGGAGGCAGCAGUGGGGAAUGUUGCACAAUGGGCGGAAGGCUGAGGGAGCAAAGAAGCGUGCGGGAUGACGGAAUUCGGGUUGUAAACCGAUAUCGCAUGUGACGAAGCGUAAGUGACGGUAAUGGGUAAAGAAGCAACGGCUAACUACGUG
RNAcentral lists this ribosomal RNA (468 nucleotides) under uncultured bacterium. Its description in RNAcentral is "partial 16S ribosomal RNA". It matches the Rfam family "Bacterial small subunit ribosomal RNA", at positions 28 to 507 of the family's 1533-position model. The record is from RNAcentral.